Molecule: long non-coding RNA, 413 nt
Filed under: Mytilus galloprovincialis (Mediterranean mussel)
Lineage: Eukaryota; Metazoa; Mollusca; Bivalvia; Mytilida; Mytilidae
Source: RNAcentral
UCUAGACUAGACCAUUCCCGCAAAUUCGCAGGUCCGUACCUGAGUUAAAGAACAUACGCUUUAUUUUUAGCCUGGAUUUUUAGAAGUCAUAUUGUUAUUUGGUGAAAUCAAGCUGAUAAUAAGGUGGACAGUUAUGUCCAUUACGAAGUCCAUGAGUAGCGUGUAGCCAUUCAUACAAUAUAAACAUAUAACAUACACAUAAUGUUCAAUCUGCAUACCGUGGGGUUUGUAUGUGAUAGUUGCCGCAGUACAUUUAGUUCUACCUAAGUCUUUGACAUAUUAUCCUGGUUACAAGCUUAAGUCUGGCUUCAAACUAGUAUUUUAUUUUACUCUUAAAGUCAGCGCGUGUAGCAGUGUAAAAUAUAUAUAUCAACAAUAUUCCUACUUUCGAGGUUAAUACAAUUUUCAUUGCG